AGUGGCAACAGAGUAUUAGGAACCAUCUCUACUGGACUGCAUCAUCAUCCAAGACAGGCCCAGAGAAGGUGGCAAAGUGGACAUCUGUCAUCAAUCGCAUCCACAACAUUCACACACACGAAGACCCCCUUUUUCCAAAGUGUGAGCACAGUGAUGUCAUAGAUAAGAGGAGGUGGUUGAAGCCAGGAUCAAAGGCUUCCUACAGACUGGAGAAGGUCCUUACAAACAAGAGGUUCAUCAAGGGUGUGGAGAAACUAAGCCCUCACCACCAAACAUCCUCUCUUGAGGCCUUCCACAGCGUUGUCAUCCGCUUUGCACCAAAGAGUGUGGUUUACCCAUUCAUUGGGAUGCUUUGCAGGUAAUGCACAUUAUGCAAGUGAUUAUGCACAGCCAGCCAUCAUUAUGACAGAAAUACCCCUGUUACUGUAGUUUUGCUGGCCUACUUUCUGACCAGAUUAUUAAAAUAC
Molecule: long non-coding RNA, 467 nt
Organism: Sander lucioperca (pikeperch)
Lineage: Eukaryota; Metazoa; Chordata; Actinopteri; Perciformes; Percidae
Exons: 2
Source: RefSeq, a predicted model, not a curated record